AGACCCGAAACCCGGUGAUCUAGCCAUGGGCAGGUUGAAGGUUGGGUAACACUAACUGGAGGACCGAACCGACUAAUGUUGAAAAAUUAGCGGAUGACCUGUGGCUGGGGGUGAAAGGCCAAUCAAACCGGGAGAUAGCUGGUUCUCCCCGAAAGCUAUUUAGGUAGCGCCUCGUGAAUUCAUCUCCGGGGGUAGAGCACUGUUUCGGCUAGGGGGCCAUCCCGGCUUACCAACCCGAUGCAAACUGCGAAUACCGGAGAAUGUUAUCACGGGAGACACACGGCGGGUGCUAACGUCCGUCGUGAAGAGGGAAACAACCCAGACCGCCAGCUAAGGUCCCAAAGUCAUGGUUAAGUGGGAAACGAUGUGGGAAGGCCCAGACAGCCAGGAUGUUGGCUUAGAAGCAGCCAUCAUUUAAAGAAAGCGUAAUAGCUCACUGGUCGAGUCGGCCUGCGCGGAAGAUGUAACGGGGCUAAACCAUGCACCGAAGCUGCGGCAGCGAACGUAUCACUUAAAGCGAUUCAGCGGGUUACGAUUGACGGAGCGAAGCGACGUCAAAGCGUAUACAAAGUCGAGUCGGUUUAAGGAUACGUUCGUUGGGUAGGGGAGCGUUCUGUAAGCCUGCGAAGGUGGCCUGUGAGGGUUGCUGGAGGUAUCAGAAGUGCGAAUGCUGACAUAAGUAACGAUAAAGCGGGUGAAAAGCCCGCUCGCCGGAAGACCAAGGGUUC
RNAcentral lists this ribosomal RNA (728 nucleotides) under Salmonella enterica subsp. enterica serovar Infantis. RNAcentral's name for it is "partial 23S ribosomal RNA". It matches the Rfam family "Bacterial large subunit ribosomal RNA", at positions 711 to 1354 of the family's 2925-position model. Lineage: Bacteria; Pseudomonadati; Pseudomonadota; Gammaproteobacteria; Enterobacterales; Enterobacteriaceae. RNAcentral also lists the same sequence under 1 other name. The record is from RNAcentral.